Molecule: transfer RNA, 72 nt
Filed under: Ictidomys tridecemlineatus (thirteen-lined ground squirrel)
Lineage: Eukaryota; Metazoa; Chordata; Mammalia; Rodentia; Sciuridae
Description: Spermophilus tridecemlineatus (thirteen-lined ground squirrel) tRNA
Rfam family: tRNA
About the family: Transfer RNA (tRNA) molecules are approximately 80 nucleotides in length. Their secondary structure includes four short double-helical elements and three loops (D, anti-codon, and T loops). Further hydrogen bonds mediate the characteristic L-shaped molecular structure. tRNAs have two regions of fundamental functional importance: the anti-codon, which is responsible for specific mRNA codon recognition, and the 3' end, to which the tRNAs corresponding amino acid is attached (by aminoacyl-tRNA synthetases). tRNAs cope with the degeneracy of the genetic code in two manners: having more than one tRNA (with a specific anti-codon) for a particular amino acid; and 'wobble' base-pairing, i.e. permitting non-standard base-pairing at the 3rd anti-codon position.
Source: Rfam by way of RNAcentral
UGGGGUGUAGCUCUGUGGUAGAGCGUUUGCCUAGCAAGUGUGAGGCCCUGGGUUUGAUCCUCAGCACCACAU